AUGGAUCGCCCGCCACAUCUCGACUUCGACCUCAACGAGCCGCCACCGCCGUCGCCACCGCAUGAGUUCGCUGCCCCCGUUGCUCCUCCUCCUCCUCCGCCGCCGCCGCCGCCGCCGCCCCAGUUCCCGCCUCCCGCCAACGUGCAGGCCCAGCUGCUGCUCCCGCACCAGGCCCGCGAGCUAGCGCUGGCGUACCACCGUGCGGAAUCCUGGAGGUUAGCUGCUGCCACGGCCAGUGCGGCCGCGACCGCUGGCUCAUCGCUGGAGGUGCCGCCGCCGCCGGUUCUCCGGUCGCCCACUUUUGCUCCUUCGCCGCUGCCGCUGCCGCCGAUUAUCCAGUCGCCUACUUUUGCUCCUCCUCCGCCGCGGCCACACCAGCUCCCGCCUCCAGCCAACGUGCAGGCUCAGCUGCUGCUCGCGCACCAAGCCAGCGAGAUAGCGCUGGCCUACCAGCGUGGGGAAUGGUGGAGGUCGGCCAUGGCGGCCACGACGGCAGGUCCGUCGGCGGGGGUGCCGCCUCCAGCGCCAGCGCAGCACCCAGGAGUAGCGAGGUGGGGCGGGAACCGGUGCGCGUCCUGCGGCCUCCCCGAGCUGCCAGGAUCGACCAUUAUCUGCGACGCCUGCGAACGUGGGUUCCACCAAGCCUGCGUCCAAGUCGUGCGGCGGCCUCCGGUGGCCGUGAACGAGCGCUGGAUGUGCCCGGGAUGUGCGAUAGGAACCGUCAACGCCCAAGACAUCACCAGGCAGUUAUGUCAGCUCCCUCUUGAUCAUUUCCUUAUGGUUGGCCUACCUGUUCAAUAUCAAGAUUUCUUCAUAACUAACUUGGGAGAAAUCGAUAAACAUGCAAGCUACCACAAUUGCCACCAGAUAUGGCCGGUGGGUUUUACAUCUUACUGGCAUGAUAGAGUCACUGGUUCACUAUUUGAGUGUGAGGUGUGUGAUGGAGGGAGUUUUGCGCCUCUGUUUAAGGUCAGAAGGUUACCAUGUUCAGUGUUCCCCCUUCCAGAAGCCUCGACUAUUCUCUCUCAGAAUGGUGCAAGAAAGGCCGUUGCAACAAAGGAAAGUAGCAGUUUUAUUGGAGAUACUGCUAAUGAUAUGGAUGGUGAUAUUUAUAUGAUGGUGGAUACUCCCUCUGAGACCAGUCAAGAUUUCUUAUCAAUUUUUACCAGUGAUAUGGAGGAUCAAAGGACUUCUUCGUGCUGCAAUGAUGUACAGAGCUCAAAUAUGAUGUCACAAAUACUACCAUCAAAUUCUGAGAAUGUUCCACCAGGUAAAGAAGCCAAUAUUAAUGACCAAAUUGAUGGUCAAAGUAAUGUAGAUACGCCAUAUGGUAGACAUGGUGGGGUGACUGGGCUACACGAUCCUGCUCAGCCCAGCGGUUCUAGCAUCCGCAAGCUACCUCCGGGACGUCCUAUUAGCCAUAAGCUUCAACCAGAAUCGGCAGCAGAUGUUUUCCAGAUAUGGGAGUUCUUGGGGCGCUUUGCUGAAAUCAUUGAUCUCAAAGAAGUGCCUUCAUAUGAACAAUUAGAAGAUGAACUUGCUGACCCAUGGCCAAUUUGUGCAAGUCAGAAAGAAACACUGUCAAAGGGCAUUCAGGAUUGUAGGGAUUACUCUUCACCAAUGAAUUCCCCUGCAAAUGCUUCUACAUCACAUUCAAAUAGUGAGUCUGGUCUCUCUAAUAAUGAAGAGAUUGUGUCUGUAUUUAUUCCUGUUGAAACUUCCUCUAUGAAGGAAGCUCGUCUAGAUAAAUUGGCAGCCCAGACACUUGGGAGGUGCACUGGUACAAUAUUGCCCGGCGUUCAUCUUGCACUCAUUAAGGUUCUUUUUGGUGAGGUAUUAUCAAAGCUGAACAUUGACCCCAAAGAAUCAAAACCCAGGCGCGGAAGAAAGAAGGACACUGAGAGCCUUAUUUCAACAAAGGAAUUUAACUUUGAUAUGCUAACUGCUAACAAGUUGACUUGGCCAGAGUUGGCUAGAAGGUAUAUGUUAGCUAUUUCUUCCAUAAAUGGGUGCAUGGAUGUGUCUGAUAUUUCCAGUCAAGAAAGGGUGAAGUUAUUCCGCUGCCCACACGGUGAUGGUGGCAUCCUGUGCGGAGCAGUACCUGGGGUUGCCGGCAUGGAGAAGGAUGCCCGUCUGCUUCUGGAGGCGGAGAAUUUGAUAUGCAGCUCUCUAUCAACUGAAGGAAACAAGGUUUAUAUGAUGGAUUACAAGUAUUCUGCUGAGGUGCCUAUUGCUGAUAACAGAACAUUUCCAGAUUGGGCAGAAGCACUAGAGCCUAAAGCUGUUUUAUCUGUGUUGUCAGAGGCAUGCCGUGUAAACCCAAGAAAUGAAAGGAAAACUAUUUCCAUCUCAGAGAUCAUCUUGAAGAAGUGUCGUAUUGCUCUGCGCCGUGCCAUUUCCUCAGAUCAAUAUAAGCUUUUGGGGAAUCUGCUUGGAAGUAUUAUAGUGAACUCUAAUGAGUAUAUAUAUGAGGAUGAAGGCAUCCUUGGAUUUUCUGGUGUGGUGCCACGCCCUUUGGACUUCCGCACAAUUGACAUAAGGUUGGCUAUGGGAGCUUAUUGUGGAUCUUGGGAGAACUUUUUUGAGGAUGUGCAAGAGGUAAUCCGUAAUCUGCACACUGCAUGUGCAGAUCGAAUAGAUAUAGUGAAAAUGGUUCUGGAAUUCUCUAAGAGUGUUGAAUUGCAUAAGACAGAGGUGCUCGACCUUGUUCAGAAAUUUGAUUGCUACCUGUCUAGGGAGAAUACUGGUUCAGAAAUCCAUGGGGAGCUACAGGAUAUUCUGACAGCAACAACCAAAUUACCUAAAGCUCCAUGGGAGUAUGGUAUUUGCAAAGUGUGUGGGAUUGAUAGAGACGAUCACAUUGUUCUCUUGUGUGAUGGCUGCGACGCGGAGUACCAUACUUAUUGCCUGAGUCCACCACUAACUCGUAUACCACGAGGAAACUGGUUCUGCCCAUCGUGCAAGUUAAAGCCAGAGAGAUCACAUCUUGACCAGGGUGCUCAGGAUUUUAAACGACAGCGAAAAGGAGCAGAGUCUCAUGCAUUUCACGGCAAACCAUCGUGCAUGUCAGCUCAAAAGAAAUCACAUCUUGACCAGGGUAUUCAGGAUUUGAAACCACAACGGAAAGGACCCUAUCAUGACAUGCUUAUUAAGUUAGCUGCAGCAGUGGCAGAAAAAGAGUACUGGGAGCUUAGCACACAAGAGGAUUUGAAAGAUAAGGAGGAAAUGAGGAAUUCAUAUGGUGAAAUGGAUACUUUAUCGGACCAGAUUUCAAAAGUGCAGGAGUCAAUUGGCACACUAGAGUCAGAGCUUAAUAUGGCAUCCUUGAGAAGAGAUUUUCUGGGAAAGGAUUCCUUGGGGUGGAAUUCUGCAUCUGUCGUUGUUUAUGAAUCGGAUGAAGAAAUCCGUAGCAUUGUUGACUGGCUAAGGGAAUAUGAUCCAAGGGAGAAAGAGCUGAAACGUGGUAUCCAGCAGUACUGGCAGCGGCAGCGGCAUCUUCAUCACCUGGGUAAUUUCGUUCUCAGUGAUCCUCCAGUAUCAUCCAAGGGGUCGCCGAACAGCAGCGAGCAGCAGCUUAUGGAACUUCCCAGUACCAAGGCUGCAGCAAUUUUGGGGAAAACAUGCCGCUGCGACUGCUUAGAGCCUAUAUGGCCUGCUCAACACCACUGCACAGCAUGUCAUGAGACUUACUUCACGUCAAUGGAGUAUGAAGAUCAUGCUGGAAAGUGCAAUGGAGAUGUAAACAAGGGCAAGGAUUCUUCGGUUGAGCCUAGCUCCACCACUGAGUCCACAAAACUCAAGUCAUGCCCAUAUGACUUUGAACAGAUUUGCAGAAAAUUUGUCACCAAUGAUUCAAACAAGGAGAUAGUGAAGGAUAUUGGACUCAUUGGAUCAAACGGAGUUCCGUCUUUUGUCCCUUCACGUGCAGUUUUUAUUGAUCCUCCAGUCAUUCUGAAUAAAAACAAAAAGCAAGAUGACAUCCCAAAUGAUGAUUGUGUUUCCAGCUCCUUAGAGGAAUGCCAGGCAAUGUCUGUACAAAAGUUAGGGAAGGAGGGGUCCAAUUCUGCUCAAGAUUGUCCUGCAGCUAGUACUUCCUGUGAUGAAAAUGUGUCAAAAACUAAGGAGCCAGCCCCUGAUACUGAUACUACUUCCUGUGAGGAAGCGGCAUCUUCUGCAACAGACAUGCCAACAAGAUUGCUGGCUAUGGUACUGGCGACCAGCAUGUUGGAGAGAGUGAUAAAAUCCGAGUUCUUGAAGAAUGAUUGGUGGUACUGGUCCUCCUUCACAGUAGCUAUCAAGACCUCAACUGCAUCCUCGCUCGCUCUCAGGAUCUACACUCUCGACCACUCUAUCGUGUACACCAAGGAGCCUAACACCGUGCCGCCGGCUGACAGUACAAAGGUUGUGAACAAGGGGGGAAAGGGGAAAGAGCCAGAACAAUCAGCGUCGUAA
This 4452-nucleotide ribosomal RNA is filed under the name Triticum aestivum (bread wheat). Its description in RNAcentral is "partial small subunit ribosomal RNA". The record is from RNAcentral. Lineage: Eukaryota; Viridiplantae; Streptophyta; Magnoliopsida; Poales; Poaceae.